CAGUCGCCACGGGAAUACGAAGGGUGUAAGCGUUACUCGGAAUCACUGGGCGUAAAGCGUGCGUAGGUGGUGGUUUAAGUCCGUUGUGAAAGCCCUGGGCUCAACCUGGGAAUUGCAGUGGAUACUGGAUCACUAGAGUGUGUCAGAGGAUGGUGGAAUUCCCGGUGUAGCGGUGAAAUGCGUAGAGAUCGGGAGGAACAUCAGUGGCGAAGGCGGCCAUCUGGGACAACACUGACGCUGAGGCACGAAAGCGUGGGGAGCAAACAGGAUUAGAUACCCCUGUAGUCCCUGUCUCUUAUAC
RNAcentral lists this ribosomal RNA (301 nucleotides) under uncultured bacterium. RNAcentral describes it as "partial 16S ribosomal RNA". It matches the Rfam family "Bacterial small subunit ribosomal RNA", at positions 509 to 807 of the family's 1533-position model. The record is from RNAcentral.